Anoplophora glabripennis (Asian longhorned beetle) is the source of this 497-nucleotide long non-coding RNA. RefSeq lists it as uncharacterized. NCBI's taxonomy places the organism in Eukaryota, Metazoa, Arthropoda, Insecta, Coleoptera, Cerambycidae. The transcript is spliced from 3 exons. The record is from RefSeq and is a predicted model, not a curated record.
AUGUAAACGCUGUUUUGAGUCCCUCAACGCACAUAAUAGUUUCCUAGGCCACUGUUUAGAGGUAGAGGAAAAAAUUGGAUAUAUGGAAAUGGAGGUUAAAGAUAAUGAAUGUGACGAAAUCUCCGUUACGUCUCGAGGCAUUGACAAAAAAUUUGAGGAAAAACAGCAAGGGAGUAAUUUAAAGGAGAAAAUCCACAGCGGAACGCAAAAUGUAGAAGAAACGAGGACCAGGGGCAUUUCCUGUUUAUUUUGACGGCUCGCCAUGCGGUGCACUAUUGCGCCGGGGAACCCUUGUCGUGCGAGGUCGAGUUGGAUCUCACUUAGCGAAACACCCGCAGAUUUCCCGAAAAAUCUUCUAAUUAGAAGACACUGGUUUAGAAGCUUAGGAAUUCCAUAUACAGAAACAAUAUACCUAUGUAUGCUCUGAUCACUUUUGUAAUAAAAUGCAAGAUAAUAUUCUUAGGACAAGGCAUAAGUUAACAAAAAAUAUUUUAUUU